UCCCGUUUGACACGGGCAGUCCCUCUAGAGUGCCCAACUAAAUGCUGGCAACUAAGGUUAAGGGUUGCGCUCGUUGCGGGACUUAACCCAACAUCUCACGACACGAGCUGACGACAACCAUGCACCACCUGUCACUGCUGUCCCCGAAGGGAAAGGCAUAUCUCUAUGCCGGGCAGCGGGAUGUCAAGACCUGGUAAGGUUCUUCGCGUAGCUUCGAAUUAAACCACAUGCUCCACCGCUUGUGCGGGUCCCCGUCAAUUCCUUUGAGUUUCAGCCUUGCGGCCGUACUCCCCAGGUGCAGGACUUAACGCGUUAGCUCCGGGACGCUCCACGAACGUGAAGCACCCCGAGUCCUGAUCGUUUAGGGCUAGGACUAC
This 377-nucleotide unclassified non-coding RNA is filed under the name uncultured Caryophanales bacterium. Its description in RNAcentral is "uncultured Bacillales bacterium contains 16S-23S intergenic spacer region". Lineage: Bacteria; Bacillati; Bacillota; Bacilli; Caryophanales. The record is from RNAcentral.